GUGCGCGACGUCUGAGGAAGCCGGCACGGAAGGUUCGAUUUUGCCUGGGGGCUGCCCUUACCUUAGCUUUUGGAGGCGUGGAGAGGCCGCGCAGUUCUGCGUCGCUUGCGGAGUGAAUUCGAGCAUGGUACCAGAUACGACCUCCCUGAACUGGUUGCUUGCAAGAGACUUUCUUCAGAGAUUUCAGGUUACCCUCAAGAUACAGAAGCCAAAUUAUGGAGUCCACAAAAAGUAGUGAGAAAUCCAGAACAGCCUCCUGGAAUCUUCACUCUGGGCCAUUCUUGAUGCUCAGCACCACCCCAGAUCUCCAGCUUCCUAGUAAUAAAGAAAUUGAGAUCCAGAGAAGUGAAGUGGUUUGUAUAUGUCAUACAUCUAGAUAGUAGCAAAGCAGAAACUGGAUUCCAGCUCUUCAUUCUUCUGAUCAUUUCUUCUUUUUAUGCCACCACAUUGACUUCAUUUCUAUGUUGUUUUACUGUUGCUUUGUUCCUUGGUAUAACUUCAGAUAAGGUCGUAAGUAUAGUUCCACACAUAGUAAUUAAGAGGCAUCAGUGAACAGAACACAGCUUUCUCUACUCUUUGUUCCUUUUGCAAACAGAUUUAACACAUUUGUUUUUGGAGAAAGAGCAGAUUUUGUUCCUGAGUUUUAUGGGCUGAGAAAAAAAGUUUUGCGUUUAAUGUUUCUUUAUUGUUUAGUUAAAAAAUUUUUAUUGAAUAAAAGAGACUGCGUUUCAUAAAAGUACAUUAUAUGACACUUAGAAAUGUGUUUGUAAACUUUUAUUGCACGCUCCCCGAGAAUGACUGAAAGCCAGGCAGCAACAAUUUUGUCUCUUCCACAGUGGCAUGGCUGCCCAGUAAUACCUUCUUCACUGACCUGCCUUGUUUUCUAAAAUUCUCACCAUUAGUUUGACAAUAUGGGAUCAAGGUAUUUGUUAAAAUGCACAAAUGUUACCUCGGAAGAAAAGAGCAAAAAGCCAUUUUUAGAACACUAGAGGAAUAAAAAUAGGACAGAUAUUUUGUGAUUUUGAAGGGAUAAGGGUGAUAAAGAGAGACCCAAGAUAGUGUAGGAAUUUCCAGUAGGAUAGAUAGGACAAGCUUAUCUUUGGUGAUUUGUCACAACUUAGAACCCGUGGGGACUUCCCUGGCGGUCCAGUGGUUGGGACUCCACCCUUCCAUUGCAGGGUUCAACCCCUGGCCGGGGAACUAAGAUCCCCAUAUGCUGCAUGGCACAGCCAAAAAAACAAAAAGUUUGAAAAAAAAAAAAAAAAAGAACCCAUGACAGCCAGAGGAUAGCAUGAGAAUAUUGGUCAUAAUCAGUGGAUUUAUUGGAGACUUCAGUGAGAUCUUGGAAAUAUGGUUAACUUCUGAGAACAGAACUAGUAAGAAACAACCUGGGCUUGUCAGACCUCUCUUGGAGUAUUAUCAUUAGAAAAUUUGUAGACAAACUGGAACACUUUCCAGGGAGAAGAUUGUGACAGAAAAAUCCACCUUCAGUAAAUAUUUAUGUUCCAGCACUGUUCUGUACAUUGGGAUACCAUCAGUGAACAAAACAAAGAUCCCUGCCCUUGUUUCUGUUUGUUUGGUUGGUUUUUUGUUUGUUUGGCCCCACUGCGUGGCAUGCGGGAUCUUAGUUCCCUGACCAGGGAUUGAACCCAUGGCCCUUGCAGUGGAAGCAUAGAAUCCUAACCACUGGAUCGCCAGGGAAUUCCCCUCCCUACCCUUAGGGAACUUAAAUUUUUGUAAGGCUAGACAGACAAUAAACAAAAUGAAUACUGACUACAGUUUGUUAGAAGGUGAAAAGUGCUUUUGAUAAAAAGAAAAAAAUAGACAAGGCAAAGUGAAUCAUGUCAAGAAUAUCAGGAAAAGUUGAAGGAUGAUAGUUCUGUUCCUUCUAUGAAGUAUGUAUAAUAAUAUUUACCAUUGCUAUAAAUAUUGAAUAUGGUUCUAUUUGUUAAGUACUUUGUACUAUGCCUAACAUACUUGACAGUAGACAAUAAAAGCUCUGCUCCACAUCAUCUUUACUCCAGGAUCCAGGUCUUCUAUCUGAAGUAUUGUCUGUUUUAUGGAAGAGGGAAAAGAAGCAGGCAAACCACUCACUGGCUCUUAAAGCUUCUGCCCAGAAGUCACACAUCACCAAUUUUAUUAGACCAGGUCACAUGGUGUGAUGGUUUUCAGAAUAUGUCCACAAAUUCUUUGACACUCCUCCCUUCAGAAAGUGGAGUCUAAUUCCUCUGCCCUUGAGUGUGAGCUGGACUUAGUUUCUUGCUUCUCACAAAUACAUGAUGACAGAAGUGAUGAUGUGUGACUUCCAAGACAGGGUCAUAAAAAGCAUUGCAGGGGCUUCCCUGGUGGCGCAGUGGUUGAGAGUCCGCCUGC
Long non-coding RNA from Aethalodelphis obliquidens (Pacific white-sided dolphin), 2373 nucleotides. RefSeq lists it as uncharacterized. The record is from RefSeq and is a predicted model, not a curated record. The transcript has 4 exons. NCBI's taxonomy places the organism in Eukaryota, Metazoa, Chordata, Mammalia, Artiodactyla, Delphinidae.